AUUGAACGCUGGCGGCAGGCUUAACACAUGCAAGUCGAACGGACGAAGCUAGCUUGCUUCUGGUUACUGCGGCGGACGGGUGUGUAAUUCCUGGGAAUCUGCUUGUUUUUGGGGGUUUACGUCCGGAAGCGGGCGCUAAUACGGCAUACGUUCAUAGGCCGAAUGUGGGGGAUCUUUGGAUCUCUGGCUAUCAUAUGAUCCUAGGUGCGGUUAGCUAGUUGGUGGGUUAACGGUCUACCAGGGCGACGAUCCGUAACUUGUCUGUGCGUAUGAUUAGUCACGCUGGAACUGAGACGCGGUCCUGGCUGCUUCGUGAUGGCGCAGUGGGGAAUAUUGGACAAUGGGCGAAAGCCUGACCCAGCCAAGCCUCGUGUGUGGAGAAAGUCUUCGGAUUGUAAAGCCCGUUUACUUGGGAAGAAGGGCAGUAAGUUGCUACCACGCUGUAUUGACGGUACCGACAGAAUAAGCACCGGCUAACUACGUG
This 484-nucleotide ribosomal RNA is filed under the name uncultured bacterium. RNAcentral's name for it is "partial 16S ribosomal RNA". It matches the Rfam family "Bacterial small subunit ribosomal RNA", at positions 30 to 507 of the family's 1533-position model. The record is from RNAcentral.